ACAACAGGUAUUAGUGUAGAUGAACCCAAAAAUAAUUGGGCGUUUGAUACAUCACAGUUUGACAACAUCCUGAAGAGAUUGAAAGUGCAAGUAGCAGAAAUCAAGGAUGAAGCUGUUGAAAAGGAUGAUGUUCAAGAUGUUGAUACUGAUGCCACCACAGAGACUAAUACAGUUGUCAAGUCUACUCGGCCCCAAGGAAGGUAUAAGAAAAGAGAGAGAGGGAAACUUGUCCAUGCAUAUUCUUCCGAGGAUCUUGGAGGAAUACUUGUGAGUUACUAACCUUUGUAAUUUAGGCCCUUCUGUUUUCAUUUUAUAGAGUUGAUUGAAUUGUGAGCUAGUUAAUUUGUGGUGCCUUAGUUAUAAGUGGUGAGUUUAUUAUUUGGGUCACUAUGUUGUCUGAAGUUACCAAAUUAUUUUUACAAAAAUGAAGUUCUAAGAUUUUGGAG
Camellia sinensis is the source of this 446-nucleotide non-coding RNA. The record is from RefSeq and is a predicted model, not a curated record. NCBI's taxonomy places the organism in Eukaryota, Viridiplantae, Streptophyta, Magnoliopsida, Ericales, Theaceae.